RNAcentral lists this ribosomal RNA (468 nucleotides) under uncultured bacterium. Its description in RNAcentral is "partial 16S ribosomal RNA". It matches the Rfam family "Bacterial small subunit ribosomal RNA", at positions 28 to 507 of the family's 1533-position model. The record is from RNAcentral.
GACGAACGCUGGCGGCGUGCUUAACACAUGCAAGUCGAACGGAAAGGCCCUGCUUUUGUGGGGUGCUCGAGUGGCGAACGGGUGAGUAACACGUGAGUAACCUGCCCUUGACUUUGGGAUAACUUCAGGAAACUGGGGCUAAUACCGGAUAGGAGCUCCUGCUGCAUGGUGGGGGUUGGAAAGUUUCGGCGGUUGGGGAUGGACUCGCGGCUUAUCAGCUUGUUGGUGGGGUAGUGGCUUACCAAGGCUUUGACGGGUAGCCGGCCUGAGAGGGUGACCGGCCACAUGGGGACUGAGGUACGGACCAGAAUCCUACGGGAGGCAGCAGUGGGGAAUAUUGCACAAUGGGCGGAAGCCUGAUGCAGCAACGCCGCGUGCGGGAUGACGGCCUUCGGGUUGUAAACCGCUUUCGCCUGUGACGAAGAGUGAGUGACGGUAAUGGGUAAAGAAGCACCGGCUAACUACGUG